RNAcentral lists this ribosomal RNA (301 nucleotides) under uncultured bacterium. RNAcentral's name for it is "partial 16S ribosomal RNA". It matches the Rfam family "Bacterial small subunit ribosomal RNA", at positions 509 to 809 of the family's 1533-position model. The record is from RNAcentral.
CAGCCGCCGCGGGAAUACGUAGGUGGCAAGCGUUAUCCGGAAUUAUUGGGCGUAAAGCGCGCGUAGGCGGUUUCUUAAGUCUGAUGUGAAAGCCCACGGCUCAACCGUGGAGGGUCAUUGGAAACUGGGAAACUUGAGUGCAGAAGAGGAAAGUGGAAUUCCAUGUGUAGCGGUGAAAUGCGCAGAGAUAUGGAGGAACACCAGUGGCGAAGGCGACUUUCUGGUCUGUAACUGACGCUGAUGUGCGAAAGCGUGGGGAUCAAACAGGAUUAGAUACCCCCGUAGUCCCUGUCUCUUAUAU